GACGAACGCUGGCGGCGUGCUUAACACAUGCAAGUCGAACGAAAAGGCCCUGCUUUGUUGGGGUGCUGGAGUGGCGAACGGGUGAGUAACACGUGAGUAACCUGCCAUUGCCUUUGGGAUAACUUCAGGACACUUGGGCUCAUACCGGCUAGGAGUUCCUGCUGCAGGGUGGGGUUGGAAUGUUUCGGCGGGUGGGGAUGGACACGCGGCGUGUCAGCGUGUUGGUUGGGUAGUGUCUUACCAAGGCUUUGACGGGUAGCAGACCUGAGAGGGUAACCGGACAAAUUGGAACUGAAAUACGGCCCGGACCCCUAUGGGAGGCAGCAGAGGGGAAUAGUGCACAAUGGGCGGAAGCCAGAUGCAGCAACGCCGCGUGCGGUAAGACGGCCUGCGGGUUGUAAACCGAUUCCGCCUGAGACGAAGCGUGAGUGACGGUAAUGGGUAAAGAAGCACCGGCUAACUACGUG
Molecule: ribosomal RNA, 467 nt
Filed under: uncultured bacterium
Lineage: Bacteria
Description: partial 16S ribosomal RNA
Rfam family: Bacterial small subunit ribosomal RNA
Source: RNAcentral